Molecule: RNase P RNA, 373 nt
Filed under: chicken gut metagenome
Description: Bacterial RNase P class A
Rfam family: Bacterial RNase P class A
About the family: Ribonuclease P (RNase P) is a ubiquitous endoribonuclease, found in archaea, bacteria and eukarya as well as chloroplasts and mitochondria. Its best characterised activity is the generation of mature 5'-ends of tRNAs by cleaving the 5'-leader elements of precursor-tRNAs. Cellular RNase Ps are ribonucleoproteins.
Source: RNAcentral
AGGGCGGUCUGUCGCUAGUCGCCGCAGUGGCGGUGGCGGGAGGAAAGUCCGGGCAACACAGGGCACCAUACUUCCUAACGGGAAGUGGGCCGUGAGGUUCACACAAGCGCAGAAGAAAAUAACCGCCCGCGUCUUGUUGCGCGGGUAAGGGUGAGAAGGCGAGGUAAGAGCUCACCGCCGCAGUGGCGACACUUGCGGGUCAGUGCGCCGUAUGGGUUGAAAGAUCAAGUAAACCGGCGUCAUGCUCAGGGCUGCCCGCCCGAAUUUACCGCCGGAGGGUAGAUCGAUAGAGUCCGCUGGUGACAGCGGAUCCAGAUAAAUGACAGGCGCGGCACGUGCGUGCCGUACAGAACCCGGCUUAUAGCCCGGCUAU